AAGAUCCUAGCUUAAUUAAAGUACCUGGUUUGCACUCAGGAGAUGUAGGGUAGUUUCCUACGGAUUUUA
This 69-nucleotide transfer RNA is filed under the name Atrichornis rufescens. Its description in RNAcentral is "tRNA-Ala". It matches the Rfam family "tRNA". Rfam says of the family: Transfer RNA (tRNA) molecules are approximately 80 nucleotides in length. Lineage: Eukaryota; Metazoa; Chordata; Aves; Passeriformes; Menuridae. The record is from RNAcentral.